This is an RNA transcript of Pyrus x bretschneideri (Chinese white pear), 2327 nucleotides long. It is a transcript of the gene named CBL-interacting serine/threonine-protein kinase 12, with no coding region annotated. The record is from RefSeq and is a predicted model, not a curated record. The transcript has 3 exons. Lineage: Eukaryota; Viridiplantae; Streptophyta; Magnoliopsida; Rosales; Rosaceae.
UCCAACUCCAUAUAAAAUAUCUUUUUACACCCACCGCUCAAAAAUACGAAAUUCCAACAAACCAAAAAAUCACAUCCCAACCCAACAAUUCCCAAACUCAACAAAAAGCUUAAGAGCUUCAAUCAUUCGAAUCACAAAUAAACAAAACAAAAGUACAAAAGAUCCCUACUCGGAGAAAUCGCGAGAGAAAGGACCGGCCGUCCAUUCCCCCAAGGAAUGGCAGACUUCAACCCCAAAGCCACCGACAACGGCGGCGCUUCCACCCGCACAGCCCCAACCACGGCCACAACUCCCGUCCGCACAACCAGCAAAACCAAAAACUGCCCUGCUCUGCUUCUGGGUCGCUUCGAAAUCGGCAAACUCCUCGGCCAUGGCACCUUCGCCAAAGUAUACCACGCCAAGAACAUCAAAACCAACGAGAGCGUCGCCAUCAAAGUCAUCGACAAGGAGAAGAUUCUGAAAGGUGGUUUGAUCGCCCAUAUAAAGCGCGAGAUCUCGAUCCUGCGCCGCGUCCGCCACCCGAACAUCGUCCAGCUCUUCGAGGUCAUGGCCACGAAAGCGAAGAUCUACUUCGUCAUGGAGUACGUCCGCGGCGGCGAGCUCUUUAACAAGGUCGCCAAGGGCCGGCUGAAGGAGGAAGUUGCGAGAAAAUAUUUCCAGCAGCUAAUCUCUGCCGUCGGAUUCUGCCACGCCCGCGGCGUCUACCACCGCGAUUUGAAGCCGGAGAACCUAUUGCUCGACGAGAACGGAGAUCUCAAGGUUUCGGAUUUUGGGUUGAGUGCGGUUUCCGAUGAAAUUCGACAAGAUGGUCUCUUUCACACGUUUUGCGGCACGCCGGCUUAUGUGGCGCCGGAGGUUUUGGGCCGGAAAGGGUACGACGCCGCGAAGGUGGAUAUUUGGUCUUGUGGUGUUGUUUUGUUCGUGCUCAUGGCUGGAUAUUUACCCUUCCAUGACCAAAAUGUUAUGGCGAUGUACAAGAAAAUAUACAAAGGCGAAUUUCGAUGCCCCAGAUGGUUCAGUGCCGAGCUUGUUCGGCUUUUAACCCGCCUUCUCGACUCAAAUCCGGGUUCGAGGAUUACAAUCCCGGAGGUGAUGGAGAAUCGCUGGUUUAAAAAGGGUUUUAAGCACAUCAAGUUCUACAUUGAUCACGAUGAUCGGCUUUGCAAUGUUCUUGAUGAUGAUGAGGAGGACAGGUUUAGUGAUGUGAGCUCUGUCUCGGAUUGUAUGUCGGAAUCUGAGGCGGAGUUUGAGACCAGAAGAAAGAUUACAUCUUUACCCAGACCGGCCAGCUUGAAUGCGUUUGAUAUAAUCUCGUUUUCUCCGGGGUUUGAUUUGUCGGGGUUGUUUGAGGAGCGGGGAGAGGAGGCCAGGUUUGUGUCGGGCGCCCCUGUUUCGACCAUCAUAUCGAAAUUGGAGGAGAUUGCGAAAGUUGUGAGCUUUUCCGUGAGGAAGAAGGAUUGCAGAGUGAGCUUGGAGGGGUCUAGGGAAGGUGUGAAGGGGCCAUUGACAAUUGCAGCGGAGGUAUUCGAACUUACGUCUUCGUUGGUGGUGUUGGAGGUUAAGAAGAAAGCAGGGGACAAAGCUGAGUACGAGCAGUUUUGUAAUACAGAAUUAAGACCCGGGUUGCAGAACUUGAUGGUUGAGGAGAGUGCCGCUGCUGCUGCUGCCGUUGCUUCCCCUCCGCAUCUGCCUUCGGAUACCGAGUAGGGAAGAAGAACGGGAAAUCGGGAAAAAGGCAGAUGAAGUUCAUGAUCAAUGUAAUGGAUUUUAUACUUGGAGGAAGAUGAGGAGGGUCCGGCUGAUUUUUUGGGUUUUACCAAAACUCGUGGAGAGUGACAAGAUGACUAGCCCAAAUCUUGUGUUGUAUGGUGGCAGAGCUCUCAACCAAAAGCCUUAUUGGUCAUUGAACACCAACCCACCACGACUCUAGUUUUUAUACUCACCUUUUCAUCACAACACAAAGAAAAGAAUGUCAGAACGAUGAAAGGGUACAUUGGUCUGGUACAUUUGGUUGUUUACAGAAGUGUGUGCUCCGUUCUGCUUGGAGUUUAAAUCCCCUUGAUAGUUUGAAUUAGGUUAGGAACAAGUUUACCAUUUUAUAAACCAAGUUCUUCUAUACUUGUUUCAGUAGUUAUUUUUACUAGGUUGAAGGAAGUUUCAGAUGUUAUAUAUAUAAAUAAUGAGUUCGAUACCUAGGUGUUGUUUCUUUUUUGGUUGGAGGAGAUUUCAGAAUACUUAUAUAUUGUACAAUUUUAAUCAGAACUUGUAUGGUUCCAUGCCGUGUGUCUUUUUUUAAUUGGAGGAGGUUUCCUAAUGAUUAUUAUAAA